AAGGAGGGUUCCGCGGCUCCGGCAGGGCGCGCAGCCGCAGCUGCCCGUCCUGGGGUCCGGGGGCGUGCGGGAAGAAAGCUCUGGCGCUGAGGUGGGGUGAGGUGGGCCAGGAAGGGGGUACCUUUGAGACUCUGAAAUUCUCGCUCCAGCUUCUUGCGGAGCUCCAUUUGCUCCAGGAGCAGUUUUUGCAAUUCGUCUGCGAAGGGCCGAGAGUGUGAGGUUCUCGAUAUCUUUCUCCACUAGCUGAGUUCCUGUGACAUCCAAGGUGAGCGCGUCUUCACCUGGGAUACAAGGGCAGGCAAUAAACCGAGUUUCAAGGAGAAGCAAAGAAACCGUGACCCCGAUACGGCCAGAGCUGCUACGGUCGGGGCGCCCGAGCCCUAAUUAAAAGCGUUGUGGCCGCCGCUGCUUCCCGGCUGUGCGCCUGGGCUUGCACCCUCAGGCUUUGGGCCGGGCACCCCCUCCCCCGCGCGCGGUCUGCUCAUCCCGCGCUCCACGCCCCCUCCCCAGCCCCUCGGAAAAGAACAAGACGAGCAGCCGAGCCCACCAGGGACGAGCGACCUACAUCGCGCGCAGAUACUGGGGCACCGCGAGCGCGCGUGGCCGCCGGGUCUGCCCGCGCCGCCCCCGCCGAGAACGCGGCCCAGGCUGCGAGCCGCGCGGGGUGGCGGCGGGGGAGACAUCCUUUCGGGUUCGGCCUGGCCGGAUUUCCGAGGCCCUCAGCCCCUCCUCUUCGAGCCACAGGGGCCCGGCGCACUUGCAGGUCUCCCCCGGGGUUGGGUCGCAGCCACCGCGGGCUCUUCGCAGGUAUCCAAGCGCGCAGCCAAGCUCCCGCACCCUCCGCCCUAACCUGGCGUGACCACAGAGGACCUCGAGGCCCCCAAAACUUGGCGAAUAAAUGAGAGGACUGGAAAGAGGUGCCAGGCGUGGUUUUAAAAAGGAUUUUAUGAGGUGUAUGUGAGCGUGUGUUGUGUGGUGGACAGGGAGGUUUGUUGUUAAGUGACCAAACGAUGGAAGUUGUUAGUUCUCGCUUAGCUUCCUUUCCCUUUCUUUCUUUUUCCUUCCCUCUCCCUGUUUUUCUCGCUUCCUCUGCCUCUCUUUUUCUCCUCUCGUCUUCCCUCGCAGCAGCACCCCCCCCCCCCCACACACACAGCCCUGUCCCUCCGCCCGCGGUCCCCGCGUCACAUUGGCCAGCGACCUCGGCAGGGGGGCUGAGGGGCGUUACCGUGGGCCUCGGGGGUGCAGAGGUAGGAGGCCGAGGGCCCCAGCGCCGCUGCCGCGCUCUUCACGUGCUCGUCCCGCUCUGGCGCGUACACCUGCGGCGGCCGAAAAUGACAGGCGGUUAGGGGUGUGCUUGCAGCGGCUCAGGGUCCCCCAGCCCUGGCCGCGGCGAGGGGGAGCCCUGAGAGGGAGGCGGAGGUCAGCUAGCCCGUGGGCCCCGAGGGCCCUGGGCGGCUGUGACGCACGCGGCGCAGCCUGCCGCCCUCGGAGGCCACAGCAACGUUGUAGUUUCAGGGUAAUUAUUAGCGCCCUCGAGAAAAUUAUCAGAAAGACAAAGCGGCUCUCAAGACAAGAGCUGUCCAAAGCCGCCCCCCCCCCACCCUUUGCCCACCUCCUUUUCGGCCUCUUCCCACCAGCCCACGCCCAGUCCCCGCAUAAAUGACGCUUUUUGCAUCCAGCUAAUGAUUCGUGUUUUAAUAGACCCAAUGGAAAUAAAUGUACAGGUGUGUGCACCCACUUUCAAAAGGCCAACGACUUCGGCUUAGUUGCACAGCUUCCACCCGAACCCGUGGUUCAGACAACUUGAGAGCCCCUCUCCCGCCCUGCACGCCAUCUACCAAAUGAACCCUGCGGUUCCCCAGGCCGGAGUUCAAAGGGACUCAGAAAACUACAAGUUGAGGUAGAGGAAGAUUCCGGAACCCCGUACUGCUGGGGCCCGGCUUGAGGGAGAGGCGGUUCUCUCCUCUCCUCACCAGCCCCUUCAUCCCCGGGACUCUGAUCUCCAUCUGGGCGAGUGUGCCACGGCCCGGCCUCGCAAGCGCUUUUCUCUGGCUUUGGGUCCCUUUUUCUGCUCCCCGUUCUUUCCCCAGAUCCCUUUUAUUUCUGUGUUACUGAGGUCCCGGCCUGUCUCUGCGCCCCCCCCCCCACCGGCCCCCGCUCCCAAUCAACAAAAACACUGCACACUCGUUUCUCAGGCCUGUCUCCCCCACCUCCGGAUUUUCUGAAACCCUCACUCACGGGGGCGAGGGGGUCCCAACAAGUUCCACAGCGCUGGGCCUACUCAGAGCGGCUGGGGCCUACCGCUCGCAUGCCUGCUCAGAACAUAAUCCCCGUCCCUAACUUGUCCAGUGCCUGCCUCACAUCCCGAAGGUGCCGAGGGGUAAGCGGGGAGGCGCCACCAGCAAGGCGGGCGCGGGGCUCACCUU
Felis catus (domestic cat) is the source of this 2426-nucleotide long non-coding RNA. RefSeq lists it as uncharacterized. NCBI's taxonomy places the organism in Eukaryota, Metazoa, Chordata, Mammalia, Carnivora, Felidae. The record is from RefSeq and is a predicted model, not a curated record. The transcript has 3 exons.